Phyllopteryx taeniolatus (common seadragon) is the source of this 5509-nucleotide RNA transcript. It is a transcript of the gene named pyruvate carboxylase, mitochondrial-like, with no coding region annotated. The record is from RefSeq and is a predicted model, not a curated record. The transcript has 26 exons. NCBI's taxonomy places the organism in Eukaryota, Metazoa, Chordata, Actinopteri, Syngnathiformes, Syngnathidae.
CAGAGUUUGCGGGAGAAGCGAGAGAAGAGAUUAACUGAGCGAACCGCGGAGCUGCUAGCAGUUAGCCACUUAGCCGGAAGUCCCUCAGCCUGUUUGACAGCCAGCCCAGUGCCUUCCCUUCCGGUGCGCGUCUGCUCAACCCAAGUAGCAGCCCUCCCUUUCCCCUCGCCCGUCUGCCUCCUUCUACCUUUCCUCCUCCGAGCGUGACCGACGACACGGGCAGGCGAAAACCAAAAUAAACACGCCGAACAGUCGACUGUUUACACUCGGUGUCCUGUUAGCAGUCGUCGGAUGCGCAACAUGAUGUUGAGCUUCACCGCGGCGCGAGGCGGCCUCAGCCUGCUGGCCGUGAGGAGGGCGUGUCUCCUGUACCGCCGCGCACACUUGGGCCCGCAGAGCCAGUAUCGACCAAUCAAGAAAGUGAUGGUGGCUAACAGAGGUGAGAUCGCCAUCCGUGUGUUCAGAGCCUGCACCGAGCUGGGGAUUCGAACGGUGGCCGUCUACUCCGAGCAGGACACCGGACAGAUGCACAGGCAAAAAGCAGACGAGGCUUACCUCAUUGGGAAAGGUUUGCCGCCUGUCGCCGCCUACUUGGACAUUCUCGACAUCAUCAAAGUAGCCAAGGAGAACAACGUGGACGCCAUCCAUCCGGGCUACGGCUUCCUGUCCGAGCGCUCCGACUUCGCUCAGGCCUGCGCCGACGCCGACGUGAUGUUCGUCGGACCGACCCCGGAAACGGUGCGCAAGAUGGGGGACAAAGUGGAGGCCCGCGCCCUCGCCAUCAGCGCCGGUGUACCCGUGGUGCCGGGAACCAACUCCCCUAUCAGCAGUCUGCAGGAGGCGCACGUCUUCGCCCAGACAUACGGCUUCCCCAUCAUCUUCAAAGCAGCCUACGGGGGCGGCGGCCGAGGCAUGAGGGUGGUCCGGGAAUACGAGGAACUAGAGGAGAAUUACCAGCGGGCCUACUCUGAAGCUCUGACGGCUUUCGGCAACGGCGCGCUGUUUGUGGAGAAGUUUAUCGAAAAGCCGAGGCACAUUGAAGUGCAGAUCCUCGGAGAUAAAUACAGCAAUGUCAUCCACCUGUACGAGAGAGACUGCUCCAUUCAGCGGCGCCACCAAAAGGUGGUAGAAAUCGCGCCGGGUUUCCAACUGGACCCUCAGCUGAGAAACCGACUUCAUUCGGACGCGGUCAACCUCGCCAAACUGGUGGGCUACGAGAACGCAGGGACGGUGGAGUUCUUGGUGGACAAACACGGCAAACACUACUUCAUUGAAGUCAACUCCCGGCUUCAGGUGGAGCACACGGUGACGGAGGAAAUCACGGACGUGGAUCUGGUGCACGCCCAGCUGCACGUGUGCUCCGGCCGCAGUUUGCCGGAACUGGGCCUCAGACAGGACAAGAUCCGGGUCAACGGCUGCGCCAUCCAGUGCAGGGUGACCACCGAGGACCCGGCCAGGGGCUUCCAGCCUGACACCGGCAGGAUCGAGGUAUUCCGGAGCGGCGAAGGCAUGGGAAUCCGUCUGGACAGCGCCUCGGCCUUUCAGGGCGCUGUCAUCUCGCCGCACUACGACUCCCUGCUGGUCAAAGUCAUCGCCAGCGGCAAGGACCUGCCCACCGCCGCCUCCAAGAUGAGCCGAGCCCUGGCCGAGUUCAGAGUGAGGGGCGUCAAGACCAACAUCCCGUUCCUCCAGAAUGUGUUCUCCAACCACCAGUUCCUCCACUCGACCGUCGACACGCAGUUCAUCGACGAGAACCAGGAACUGUUCAACCUCAAGCCCACGCAGAACCGAGCGCAGAAGCUGCUGCACUAUCUGGGUCACGUGAUGGUGAACGGACCGACCACGCCCAUCCCAGUGAAGGCCAAACCGUCCUCGAUUGACCCCGUCAUUCCUCCCGUCACCAUGGGAGAUCCUCCGGUAGGAUUCCGCGACGUCCUGCUGCGCGAUGGUCCGGAGGGCUUCGCCAAGGCCGUGCGUGCCCACCGAGGGCUCUUGCUCAUGGACACCACCUUCAGAGAUGCCCACCAGUCCCUGCUGGCCACCAGGGUGCGCACCCACGACUUGAAGAGAAUCUCCCCAUUUGUCAGCCAUAACUUCAACAACCUUUUCAGCCUGGAGAACUGGGGAGGCGCCACCUUUGACGUGGCCAUGCGCUUCCUGUCCGAGUGCCCGUGGAAGAGACUCCAGGAGUUGAGGGCUUUGAUCCCAAAUGUUCCGUUCCAGAUGCUGCUGAGAGGAGCCAACGCCGUGGGCUACACCAACUACCCCGACAACGCCGUCUUCAAGUUCUGCGAGGUGGCAAAAGAGAACGGCAUGGACGUCUUCCGCGUUUUCGAUUCCCUCAACUACCUGCCCAACAUGCUGCUGGGCAUGGAGGCGGCCGGAUCGGCGGGCGGCGUCGUGGAGGCGGCCAUCUCGUACACGGGCGACGUGUCAGACCCGAUGAGGCAGAAGUACUCCCUCAGCUACUAUCUGGAGCUAGCAGAGGAGCUCGUCAAAGCUGGAACGCACAUCCUUUGUAUCAAGGAUAUGGCCGGUCUGCUUAAGCCAGAGUCCAGCAAGAUGCUGGUAGGCUCUCUGAGGGACCGCUUCCCACACGUGCCCAUCCACGUGCACACGCAUGACACAGCCGGCGCCGGCGUGGCCGCCAUGCUGGCGUGUGCGGAGGCCGGAGCUGACGUCGUGGACGUGGCGGUUGACUCGAUGGCCGGCAUGACGUCUCAACCAAGCAUGGGCGCAAUGGUCGCCUGCGCCAAGGGGACCAAGCUGGACACUGGUAUCGCGCUGGAGAAGGUGUUCGACUACAGCGAGUACUGGGAAGUGGCUCGAGGCCUCUACGCUCCGUUUGACUGCACGGCCACUAUGAAGUCCGGCAACGCCGACGUCUACGAGAACGAGAUACCCGGAGGACAGUACACCAACCUCCACUUCCAGGCGCACAGUAUGGGCCUGGGGAAUAAGUUCAAGGAGGUGAAGAAGGCCUACACUGAAGCCAAUAAACUACUGGGAGACCUCAUUAAGGUGACGCCGUCCUCCAAGAUCGUGGGGGACCUGGCCCAGUUCAUGGUCCAGAACAACCUGAGCCGCGCCGAGGUGGAAGAGAGGGCCGACGAGCUGUCCUUCCCUCUGUCUGUGGUGGAGUUCCUGCAGGGUUACGUUGGGAUACCGCACGGAGGAUUCCCGGAGCCCUUUAGAUCCAAGGUGCUCAAGUCGCUCCCUCGCCUGGAGGGCCGCCCCGGCGCCUCGCUGCCGCCGAUGGACUUCAAGUCCUUGGAGGAGGGGCUGCGGGCGGCGCACGGCGACGACAUCACGCCCGAAGACGUCAUGUCGGCGGCCAUGUACCCCAAGGUGUUCCAAGAAUUUAAAGAAUUCACUGGUAACUUCGGCCCAGUGGACUGCCUCAGCACCAGGCUCUUCCUGGAUGGGCCGAAGAUCGCUGAGGAGUUUGAGGUAACUUUCCGCUUUCUACGUUUGAAUUCACUGCAAGCGCCGCCGACCUCGACGACAAGCCGUGACAUUCAUUCAUCCCCAGCGGAAAACAACAAGCCUUUUGUUGUCACGGCAGUGGUUGUUCCCACAGGAUCAAGUCUUAUUAGCGGCGGAGAGGAGCAAGAGACGGACUGAAAGCACGUCAAAAAGUGACAACUUGUAGCUUUUUCACAAGCGUCGCUUUAUGGCUUGUGAAAGGAGGCGAGGGAGACAAAAACCGCGCCCGCCUACUGGAGAGCAAAUCCUAAACACUUUUGCUGGUGUGUCUGCAACUUUCAUUCUACAACAGGGCAACAUUAUCUUACUUGUCAAAAUUGGAUCUUUUGUGACUUUGUUGGCAUUUUGGAAAUGAUUUUGAGAUUCAAUAUAAAGGCUAUAUAAGUAAUUUAACCGUUGCAAAGGUGAUGCUCACUAUUAAUUUUACAGGGCAAGAUUGCAUUUCCUCAAAAUUCUCAGAGACCAGGAAGGAUUUCAUGCUCCAUAUGGACAAAAAGGAUUGGGACCGGUCUAGUUGCUGAAAUCACAACCCCCGCAACUGUCGACUGUCAAUCAAGUGCCUCUGCAACGACAUGGAAAAAUGGAUGCAAAUUUGUCAAGCAUCAAUCUUAUGCUGACACAUAAUCCAUAAAACGUGUAAAUAUAUCUGCUUAAAGCCUCCGGUGACUGGAUAGAUAUUUUCCAAGCCGCAACAAUGAGGCACUCUAAAGCGGCCACAUCGGCACGAAGGCCCUAUCCAUACGCUGGCUGUCAAGUUGGACUUUUUUUGGGGGGGGGGGGUGUUUUCCCCCCUUUCUCACUGUGACAUGCGCACACUUGCAGCCGACAACGUGGCGCUCUAACGCGGCCACGCCAGUGGACUACCCGAAGGGAAGACGUAUUUUGGGGAUGUAGGCAUAGCUAGCUCACACACACACACACACACACACACACCCACGUGAGCACAGACACUACUGUCAGUCACCCACACAUGCGGCGAAUAAAAAGCCUGAUUGCCGCUGAUUCGUUAUCAUAUUAAUGAUGUUUGACAGAAAUGUAAACCAGUCCAAUAUACACGUGCGGUCACUUCUCAUAAUCGCAGACGCCAACAGACCCACGCGAUCUCGUUCCAAGACGGGUUAUUAAUAAGGUCGCGUCAUGAGAUUGGAAUGUGUCGUUAGUUUUAGCAUUCGACGAACAACCGCGACUAUACACGCACCCUAACUAGAUCUCAUGAGCAUUAUUAUUCGCCACUUGACUGUUUAAGCAAGAAAGGGAAACUACGAGCUGGCUGUUAUGCGCGUUGCAUUUGACUGCGUGGAAUGAGAAGCAAUCAAAUGAGAGAUUUCAUUUGUGUCUCCGCACAAUUGGAGAAUCACAAUGAGGAGCGGCUCGAAGCUCUCACGUGACUUGACAACAGCGUGAUUGUUGAUGUUCGCGACAUUGGCUUUAAUUGGUCCGUAGGCUUGAUGAGCCUUGGCAGGCGAAGGCGCACGGCAGACGGACCAAAGCGUCUGCAAAACACCAAUUGGAUUUUGCUGCAAGUCCUGCCAGAUGCGUGCAAACAAGCACUCGAGACUCAACGCUGGCAUUCUUGCCACCGCUGCACGUAUUUCGGUCUUUUUUUUCCCGGCACCGAGAUCCGCUUCUGAAUGUCAAUGAGUCGUCGUUUCAGAUGUGAGACGGUGACAAGGCGAAAGAACAGAGUAGCCGAGGGAUGGCAAGACAUGAAAAAGGAGAACGACGUCGGAGAGGAAGCGAGAUGGAAGGCAGCUGUGAUGCUUUUGACCAAAAUAUGCCACAAAUACACACACACAAAAACAAAAGCAUGAGGCCUCCCUCUGAUUGUAUAUCUCUAUUCUCUAGAUGUGGGAAUAAGUCACAUGAAGUCUUUAACCUUCAAGUGGAGCUGGAGAGGGGCAAGAUCCUGCACAUCAAAGCUCUGGCCUUGGGCGACCUGAACAAGGCCGGCCAGAGGGAAGUCUUCUUCGAGCUGAACGGACAGCUGAGAUCCGUGCUGGUGAAAGACACGGUUGCCAUGAAG